GACGAACGCUGGCGGCGUGCUUAACACAUGCAAGUCGAACGGAAAGGCCCUGCUUUUGUGGGGUGCUCGAGUGGCGAACGGGUGAGUAACACGUGAGUAACCUGCCCUUGACUUUGGGAUAACUUCAGGAAACUGGGGCUAAUACCGGAUAGGAGCUCCUGCUGCAUGGUGGGGGUUGGAAAGUUUCGGCGGUUGGGGAUGGACUCGCGGCUUAUCAGCUUGUUGGUGGGGUAGUGGCUUACCAAGGCUUUGACGGGUAGCCGGCCUGAGAGGGUGACCGGGCACCAUGGGAAUGGGGUACGGGCCAGAAUCCUACGGGGGGGAAGAGGGGGGAAUAUUGCCAAAUGGGGGGAAGCCUGAUGCAGGAACGGCGGGGGGGGGAAGAAGGCCUUCGGGGUGUAAACCCGUUUUGGCUGGGACGGAGGGUGAGUGACGGUAAUGGGUAAAGAAGCACCGGCUAACUACGUG
Molecule: ribosomal RNA, 468 nt
Filed under: uncultured bacterium
Lineage: Bacteria
Description: partial 16S ribosomal RNA
Rfam family: Bacterial small subunit ribosomal RNA
Source: RNAcentral